GCGCGGAAAUGGGAAUGUAUACUCCCAUUUUUAACAUAUUGUAUUACAGCGAAAUGUAAAUGAGUAUGUAGAUAAAGGUAAUAUCUGUGACUAGCUUUCUUGCUAGCUGAAGCGUGAAGUCAUUAUUAUUACACUACACUCCGUUCGUUCGGAGGAGUCUAGUCCUACAGACAGAUAGGUCAGUUAACUGUCGGAUUCGAAUACUCUUAUAAAAGUGUCUAUCUAACCUAAUUAUGACUUCCCAGUUCAGCUGACAGGCAAGCUAGUACACAAUGAAUUUUGCUGUUACACAUGUUCACCUUUAACAUAUUAGAUUUACGCAUUUUCACCUCAUACGUACUGUAUUUACGCAUUUCAGUUUUUAUGCUAUGUAAUUGUCUUGAAUUGGUUUCUCAACAAAGAAAGACACGCUGACUAUAAUCAACGAUUUAGGGCUCUACGUGGUAAAGCCGAAUUCUAUAGUAGGUUAUCAAUAAUGGUGAACUAUAUUGAGUUGCACUUCAAGAAAAUAUAUACUAGUAGUAAAGUUUAUUCCAGACAGUACGUAACACUCACAGUAUGAUAUAUACAUACUGAUAAUAUAAACUUAUCGUGUCAAGGGUCAAUUAAUGUCACCAUUCAAUAAAACGCAUUUGGUCUUUAGUUAUUUAAAAUCUGUAUUCUACCCCAAUCCGAAAUUUCUAUCAAUAGAGAAGUAGUGUAUUAUCCUUGAGCGCAAAUUCUUCGGAAAACCAAAGCUGUUUGUAAACAAAUGUGUAGACUGGAUGACAUUCAAAAUCUUAAACAAAAACAGAGGAUUAUCACUAUACGUAUGGCCUUUCGUCACCUCUCCUAGCUAAUCAUAUUGUUAAAGACAAAAGGUUCCGUAGUAUAUUUUAGCUUAUAACAAACGAAUGUGUAAGUUGCCAAAAAUCAAACAAAUGUCUGCGAAAAAAAAAAAUCAUUUAAAAUGGAUCCGUACAUGAACACUGACCACAUUGUUUCUGAAAUGACAUGUAUGCAGAUCUUCAUUUUAAGCACGACUGUGUUUACAAUUAGCAACACACACCAUAAAACUAGUUUAUAUUACGAUAAUGCACGCCUGAAACAAAUUUUUUUUUAACAUUUCUUUUUAUGUUUCAAAAGUAUAUAGCUUCGAAUUGAGUUUUUACAUUGAAUAUUUUUUUUUUUAUAAAAUGAAAAAAAAAGUAUGAGAAAUUGACCAUUUGUUUUACAUAUCAUAACAAAAAGCAAUAUGAAUUACAACUGUCGACCAAAAAGUGACUCAAUAACACUUAGAGGGGUGUCUCUUGUGACUUUCUUUUCACAAAAAAAAAUGUUCAGCGAUCGUGUUUGAGAGAACAUAGUGGAAGAUAUUAGCAAGCAAAAUCGAUGGAAUUGUGCAAAUGAUGAUACAAGCAUGAAAAUUACCACAAAGCAUCAUUAUUAUAUACUUCGUAAGAAAUAACUGCUGGCCAUUAAAAAAAAAAAUUUCAAGAUGGCCACGGCCAUUUUC
This 1495-nucleotide long non-coding RNA is filed under the name Mytilus galloprovincialis (Mediterranean mussel). The record is from RNAcentral. Lineage: Eukaryota; Metazoa; Mollusca; Bivalvia; Mytilida; Mytilidae.